Molecule: long non-coding RNA, 8217 nt
Filed under: Mytilus galloprovincialis (Mediterranean mussel)
Lineage: Eukaryota; Metazoa; Mollusca; Bivalvia; Mytilida; Mytilidae
Source: RNAcentral
UUUUNUCAUAUACCGGUCAUGAAAGGAUUUAGGUCUGCUGCAUCUCCGUAUGUUUUCUAUAUCACCGCGAUGUUCAUACCUCUUUAAAAAUAUAUCAACGGGUCUUUGUUUAAUGCCGGUCAGUCUGACUAUUUCACUUUUUCGGUAACCUGCAUCAUUUAAUGCAGCGAAAUCACUUUUCUGAUAAGAUAUCAGUUCUUUUCCCCUUCGACCCAUUUUGUUUACAAGACAAGGUUGAUGCCAUCACGCACGUGUCACAUGACAACCACAUGUUUUUCUACAUUUAAAUUUAGAUUCACUGUUAUACCGAUUGUGACAUGGAGACGACGCAAAUUGUUGUUUUUACAAAUACUUAAGGCUGAAUACUGUAUAAAUGGUACAUUUAUGUUCAAUUAAAACAGCUUUACAUAAAAGCCCUGAUUUAUUUUUCUGCAAACUUUGUCACUUAGGUUGACUUAGUAAGGACUUUCUUUGCAAAAUAAAAAUGUUGUUUUAUUGGAAAUUGCUUAUUGAUGAGAUGUGUUACGGGCCCACUUUUUUCAGUCAAUAGUUUCCAACAAAAUUAUACCACCCACACAGUGCCGUUAUAUUAGUUAGAGUUAUUGUACAAUUGAUUAUCUUGAUAUUGAUGUUUUGCUUUUUUACUAACGGUCAUUCGAAUAUUCCUGCUAAAAAGAAGUCGUCGAAAUGUUAGCUUCCUCUUUUCAGAUAUUAUUCGACGAGUUUGAAAAUUAUUCUGAAAUUAAAAAUAAAAAGUAUACAAUAAUUGUUUAUAGAUGAAGUAAGUAAUCAAUGUAUAAGGUAAAAAAAAACAGUGCGCACUUUAUAACUUUUUCGGUUAUUUUUUUUUACAAAAAAUUAUCAACAACUAAGAAUGCAGUUAUAGUUGUUCGAAUGAGUUUAGCAACUUAUUUUGUGAAAUGUGAUUGUAUAAUUGUGAUAUUCUUUGAAAACGUCUUUUCAUAACAGCGCUGAUUUGUAUUUCUUCACACUUUGUCCCUAGUUUCAACUUUUGAAACACUUUUCUUGCAAUAGAAAAACGUUGCUUAAUUCGAUAUUGCUUAUUGAUCAGAUGUUUUACGUACGUAUUUUUUUUUUCGUCAAUUUUUCAACAAAAUUAAAUCACAACACACAGUGCCGUUAUGUUAGGUAGAAUAAAUGUAAAGUUGAUUAUCAUGAUAUUGAUGUCCCGCUUUUUUCUAACGGUCAUUUGAAUAUACCUGUUAAAAAAGUCGCCGAAAUUUUUGCUUCUACUUUUGUGAGAUUAUUCGACAAGUUUGAAACUUUUUUUCUGAAAUUAACAAUAAAACUAAGUCAAUAAUUGUAAAUUGAUGAAAUAAGUUAUCAAUGUAUAAUAGAAAACGGUGCAUACUUUAUAAUUUUUUCAUUAGGCUUUUGUUCAAAAUAAUGAACAGCUAACAAUGCAGUUCUUUUUGUUCGAAUGGGCUAACAACUAAUUGUGUGAAAUGUGAAGGUAUAAUUAUAAAUGCGGUUCGUGUUGUUUAUUCUUUAGUUUUCUAUGUUGUAUCAUGUGUACUAUUGUUUGUCUGUUUGAACUUUUUAUUUUUAGCCAUGGUGUUGUCAGUUUAUUUUCGAUUUAUGAGUUUGACUGUCCCUCUUGUAUCUUUCGUUCCUCUUUUAUUAUGUUCAUUGAAAACAUCUUUUCAAAUAAUGAAUUAAACACAUCAAGUAGUGUAGAAUCGUCAAAUUUUAUAACAUCAUCACGUAAUGUUAAAACCAUAUAAAGAAUAGGCAAAUCAUCAUUACGAAAUAACAAAACCACAUCAUGUAAUGAAACAACUACAUAACGUUAAGUCAUAUUCACAUCAAGUAAUGUUCAAACCAUAUUGACUAAUGACACAACCACAUCGAGUAGUGACAAAACCAUAUUGAGAAAUGACAAAACCAUAUUGAGUAAUUACAAAAUGAUAUCAAGUCAAUACGAAAUCAUAACGUGUAAUAUCAAAACUUCAUUAAGUAAUGUCAAAACCAUAUUAAGUAAAGACAAAAUAUCAUUAAGUAAUAGUAAAACAACAUAAAGUAAUAUCAGAGUUCCACAUAAGCCAGCUGUGGCGUUCCAUAGUUUUACGUGCCUAAUUUUUUUUGUCAAUAUUUUCAACAAAAUUAGACCACACCACACAGUGCCGAUAUAUAAGUUACAAUAAAUGUAAAAUUGAUUACCUUGAUAUUGAUGUUUCGCUUUUUUCCUAAUGGUCAUUCGAAUAUACCUGCAAACAAAAGUCGCCGAAAUAUUUGUUUCCUUUUUUGUGAGAUAAUCGACGUCGAGUUUAAAAACUCUUCUGAAUUUAACAAUCAUUGACCACACUUUGUUGUCAAUUAUGUCAAAGUAUUUUAAGGCAUUUAUGUUCCCGUCAAUGACAGUUAUAAUUCCCACGUCAUUGUAAUUAAUACACCCCCAGAUCAUCAAACAAUAGUUGCGCUGAGACGGAAGGAAAAUACAAUCCAUCAACCACUCUUCCCCGACCUUCUCUAGACAUUGGGUGAAGAAUUUUGCCGUAUGACUACCUUUCACUUAUCGUUGAAUAUCCAUGUACUCCAGUGAACAUUUCCUCUUUUAUGUAGAUUUCCUAUACAGUAUGCCACUCGUUUUUUCUAAUUGAUCUCACAUAUACGAUAUUUUUUUUUAAACUGACCGCGUGCAGAAUCAAUCAAAAUGUAUUUUACAUUCAACAGUUCUUUUAGAGAAAGGUCUAUCAAUGUUCUCAUUAAAAUUAUUUGUAAUUUCAGCUAAACCUUCAUGGCGAUAUUUUUUUACGGGACGGGAAAAUUUUCUCAUAUACCGGUCAUGAAAGGAUUUAGGUCUGCUGCAUCUCCGUAUGUUUUCUAUAUCACCGCGAUGUUCAUACCUCUUCAAAAAAUGUCAACGGGUCUUUGUGUAAUGCCGGUCAGUCUGACUAUUUCACUUUUUCGGUAACCUGCAUCAUUUAAUGCAGCGAAAUCCCUUUUCUGAUAAGAUGUCAGUUCUUUUCCCCUUCGACCCAUUUUAUUUACAAGACAAGGUUGAUGCCAUCAUGCACGUGUCACAUGACAACCACAUGUUUUUCUACAGAUCAAUUUAUAUUUAAAUUUAGAUUCACGGUCAUCCAGAUUGUGACAUGGAGACGACGGCCAAAACUUGUUUAACCUUCCAUGACGUGACCGCAAUUGUUGUUUUUACGAAUACUUAUGGCAGAAUACUGUAUAAUUGCUACAUGUAUCUUCAAUGAAAACAGCUUUUCAGAAAAGCCCUGAUUUAUUUUUCUGCAAACUUUGUCACUUUGGUUGACUUAGUAAGGACUUUCCUUGCAAAAUAAAAAUGUUGAUUUAUUGGAAAUUGCUUAUUGAUGAGAUGUGUUACGUGCCCACUUUUGUCAGUCAAUAUUUUCACCAAAUUAUACCACACCACACAGUGCCGUUAUAUUAGUUAGAGUUAUUGUACAAUUGAUUAUCUUGAUAUUGAUGUUUCUCUUUUUUUCUAACGGUCAUUCGAAUAUUCCUGCUAAAAAGAAGUCGUCGAAAUUUUUGCUUCCUCUUUUCAGAUAUUAUUCCACGAGUUUGAAAAUUCUUCUGAUAAUGAAAAUAAAAAGUAUACAAUAAUUAUUUAUAGAUGAAGUAGGUAAUUAAUGUAUAAGGUAAAAAAAAAACAGUGCGCACUUUAUACCUUUUUCGGCCAUUUUUUUUUUACAAAAAUUAUCAACAACUAAGAAUGCAGUUAUAGUUGUUCAAAUGGGUUAACAACUUAUUGUGUGAAAUGUGAUUGUAUAAUUGUGAUAUUCUUUGAAAACGUCUUUUCAUAAAAGCGCUGUUUUGUAUUUCUUCACACUUUGUCCCUAGUUUCAACUUGUGAAACACUUUUCUUGCAAUAGAGAAACGUUGUUUUAUUCGAUAUUGCUUAUUUAUCAGAUGUUUUACGUGCUAAUUUUUUUUUUGUCAAUUUUUUCAACAAAAUUAAAUCACAACACACAGUGCCGUUAUGUUAGGUAGAAUAAACGUAAAGUUGAUUACCAUAAUAUUGAUGUUCCGCUUUUUUCUAACGGUCAUUUGAAUAUACCUGUUAAAAAAGUCGCCGAAAUUUUUGCUUCUACUUUUGUGAGAUUAUUCGACAAGAUGAUCAUUUUUUUCUGAAAUUAAUAAUAAAACUAAGUCAAUAAUUGUAAAUUGAUGAAGUAAGUUAUCAAUGUAUAAUAGAAAACAGUGCAUACUUUAUAAUUUUUUCAUUAGGCUUUUGUUCAAAAUAAUAAACAGCUAAGAAUGCAGUUCUUUUUGUUCGAAUGGGUUAACAACUAAUUGUGUGAAAUGUGAAGGUAUAAUUAUAAAUGCGGUUCGUGUUGUUUAUUCUUUAGUUUUCUAUGUUGUAUCAUGUGUACUAUUGUUUGUCUGUUUGAACUUUUUAUUUUUAGCCAUGGUGUUGUCAGUUUAUUUUCGAUUUAUGAGUUUGACUGUCCCUCUUGUAUCUUUCGUUCCUCUUUUAUUAUGUUCAUUGAAAACAUCUUUUCAUAAAAGCGCUGAUUUAUUUUUUUAUAAACCUUGUCAUUGGUUCGGACUUUGAAAGGACUUUCGUUGCAAUAGAAAAACGUUGUUUUAUUAGAAAUUGAUAAUAAUUAGAGAUGUUUUACGUGCCUACUUUUUUUUGUCAAUAUUUUCAACAAAAUUAGAUCACACCACACAGUGCAGAUAUAUUAGGUACAAUAAAUGUAAAAUUGAUUACCUUGAUAUUGAUGUUUCGCUUUUUUCCUAAUGGUCAUUCGAGUAUACCUGCUAACAAAAGUCGCCGAAAUAUUUGUUUCCUUUUUUGUGAGAUUAUUCGACGUCGAGUUUAAAAACUCUUCUGAAUUUAAUAAUCAUUGACCACACUUUGUUGUCAAUUAUGUCAAAGUAUUUUAAGGCAUUUAUGUUCCCGUCAAUAACAGUUAAUAAUUCCCACGUCAUUGUAAUUAAUACAUCCCCAGAUCAUCAAACAAUAGUUGCGCUGAGACGGAAGGAAAAUACAAUCCAUCAACCACUCUUCUCCGACCUUCUCUAGACAUUGGCUGAAGAAUUUUGCCGUAUGACUACCUUUCACUUAUCGUUGAAUAUCCAUUUACUCCAGUGUACAUUUCCUCUUUUAUGUAGAUUUCCUAUGCAGUAUGCCACUCGUUUUUUCUAAUUGAUCUCACAUAUACGAUAUUUUUUUUUAAACUGACCGCGUGCAGAAUCAAUCAAAAUGUAUUUUACAUUCAACAGUUCUUUUAGAGAAAGGUCUAUCAAUGUUCUCAUUAAAAUUAUUUGUAAUUUCAGCUAAACCUUCAUGGCGAUAUUUUUUUACGGGACGGGAAAAUUUUCUCAUAUACCGGUCAUGAAAGGAUUUAGGUCUGCUGCAUCUCCGUAUGUUUUCUAUAUCACCGCGAUGUUCAUACCUCUUCAAAAAAUGUCAACGGGUCUUUGUGUAAUGCCGGUCAGUCUGACUAUUUCACUUUUUCGGUAACCUGCAUCAUUUAAUGCAGCGAAAUCCCUUUUCUGAUAAGAUGUCAGUUCUUUUCCCCUUCGACCCAUUUUAUUUACAAGACAAGGUUGAUGCCAUCAUGCACGUGUCACAUGACAACCACAUGUUUUUCUACAGAUCAAUUUAUAUUUAAAUUUAGAUUCACGGUCAUCCAGAUUGUGACAUGGAGACGACGGCCAAAACUUGUUUAACCUUCCAUGACGUGACCGCAAUUGUUGUUUUUACGAAUACUUAUGGCAGAAUACUGUAUAAUUGCUACAUGUAUCUUCAAUGAAAACAGCUUUUCAGAAAAGCCCUGAUUUAUUUUUCUGCAAACUUUGUCACUUUGGUUGACUUAGUAAGGACUUUCCUUGCAAAAUAAAAAUGUUGAUUUAUUGGAAAUUGCUUAUUGAUGAGAUGUGUUACGUGCCCACUUUUGUCAGUCAAUAUUUUCACCAAAUUAUACCACACCACACAGUGCCGUUAUAUUAGUUAGAGUUAUUGUACAAUUGAUUAUCUUGAUAUUGAUGUUUCUCUUUUUUUCUAACGGUCAUUCGAAUAUUCCUGCUAAAAAGAAGUCGUCGAAAUUUUUGCUUCCUCUUUUCAGAUAUUAUUCCACGAGUUUGAAAAUUCUUCUGAUAAUGAAAAUAAAAAGUAUACAAUAAUUAUUUAUAGAUGAAGUAGGUAAUUAAUGUAUAAGGUAAAAAAAAAACAGUGCGCACUUUAUACCUUUUUCGGCCAUUUUUUUUUUACAAAAAUUAUCAACAACUAAGAAUGCAGUUAUAGUUGUUCAAAUGGGUUAACAACUUAUUGUGUGAAAUGUGAUUGUAUAAUUGUGAUAUUCUUUGAAAACGUCUUUUCAUAAAAGCGCUGUUUUGUAUUUCUUCACACUUUGUCCCUAGUUUCAACUUGUGAAACACUUUUCUUGCAAUAGAGAAACGUUGUUUUAUUCGAUAUUGCUUAUUUAUCAGAUGUUUUACGUGCUAAUUUUUUUUGUCAAUUUUUUCAACAAAAUUAAAUCACAACACACAGUGUCGUUAUGUUAGGUAGAAUAAACGUAAAGUUGAUUACCAUAAUAUUGAUGUUCCGCUUUUUUCUAACGGUCAUUUGAAUAUACCUGUUAAAAAAGUCGCCGAAAUUUUUGCUUCUACUUUUGUGAGAUUAUUCCACAAGAUGAUCAUUUUUUCUGAAAUUAAUAAUAAAACUAAGUCAAUAAUUGUAAAUUGAUGAAGUAAGUUAUCAAUGUAUAAUAGAAAACAGUGCAUACUUUAUAAUUUUUUCAUAAGGCUUUUGUUCAAAAUAAUAAACAGCUAAGAAUGCAGUUCUUUUUGUUCGAAUGGGUUAACAACUAAUUGUGUGAAAUGUGAAGGUAUAAUUAUAAAUGCGGUUCGUGUUGUUUAUUCUUUAGUUUUCUAUGUUGUAUCAUGUGUACUAUUGUUUGUCUGUUUGAACUUUUUAUUUUUAGCCAUGGUGUUGUCAGUUUAUUUUCGAUUUAUGAGUUUGACUGUCCCUCUUGUAUCUUUCGUUCCUCUUUUAUUAUGUUCAUUGAGAACAUCUUUUCAUAAAAGCGCUGAUUUAUUUUUUUAUAAACCUUGUCAUUGGUUCGGACUUUGAAAGGACUUUCGUUGCAAUAGAAAAACGUUGUUUUAUUAGAAAUUGAUAAUAAUUGAGAUGUUUUACGUGCCUACUUUUUUUUGUCAAUUUUUUUCAACAAAAUUAGAUCACACCACACAGUGCAGAUAUAUUAGGUACAAUAAAUGUAAAAUUGGUUACCUUGAUAUUGAUCAUUCGCUUUUUUCCUAAUGGUCAUUCGAGUAUACCUGCUAACAAAAGUCGCCGAAAUAUUUGUUUCCUUUUUUGUGAGAUUAUUCGACGUCGAGUUUAAAAACUCUUCUGAAUUUAAUAAUCAUUGACCACACUUUGUUGUCAAUUAUGUCAAAGUAUUUUAAGGCAUUUAUGUUCCCGUCAAUAACAGUUAUAUUUUUCACGUCAUUGUAAUUAAUACAUCCCCAGAUCAUCAAACAAUAGUUGCGCUGAGACGGAAGGAAAAUACAAUCCAUCAACCACUCUUCUCCGACCUUCUCUAGACAUUGGCUGAAGAAUUUUGCCGUAUGACUACCUUUCACUUAUCGUUGAAUAUCCAUUUACUCCAGUGUACAUUUCCUCUUUUAUGUAGAUUUCCUAUGCAGUAUGCCACUCGUUUUUUCUAGUUGAUCUCACAUAUACGAUAUUUUUUUCUAAACUGACCGCGUGCGGAAUCAAUCAAAUUGUAUUUUACAUUCAACAGUUCUUUUAGAGAAAGGUCUAUCAAUGUUCUCAUUAAAAUUAUUUGUAAUUUCCGCUAAACCUUUACGGCGAUAUUUUUUUACGCCACCGGAAAAUUUUCUUUUAUACCGAUCAUGAAAGGAUUUAGGUCUGCUGCAUCUCCGUAUGUUUUCUAUAUCACCGCGAUGUUCAUACCUCUUUAAAAAUAUAUCAACGGGUCUUUGUUUCAUGCCAAUCAAUCUGACUAUUUCCCUUUUUCGGUAACCUGCAUCAUUUAAUGCAGCGAGAUAGCUUUUCUGAUAAGAUGUCAGUUCUUUUCCCCUGCGACCCAUUUUUUUUCACAAGACAAGAAUAAUGCCAUCACGCACGUGUCACAUGACAACCACAUGUUUUUUCUACAGAACAAUCUAUAUUUAAAUUUAGAUUCACUGUCAUACCGAUUGUGACAUGGAGACGACGCAAAUUGUUUUUUUACAAACACUUAUGGCAGA